Molecule: ribosomal RNA, 254 nt
Filed under: uncultured bacterium
Lineage: Bacteria
Description: partial 16S ribosomal RNA
Rfam family: Bacterial small subunit ribosomal RNA
Source: RNAcentral
UACGGGGGGAGCAAGCGUUGUUCGGAUUUACUGGGCGUAAAGGGCGCGUAGGCGGCCACCGCAAGUCAAUUGUGAAAUCUCCGGGCUUAACUCGGAAAGGUCAACUGAUACUGCGGGGCUAGAGUGCGGAAGGGGCAACUGGAAUUCUCGGUGUAGCGGUUAAAUGCGUAGAUAUCGAGAGGAACACCUGCGGCGAAGGCGGGUUGCUGGGCCGACACUGACGCUGAUGCGCGAAAGCCAGGGGAGCGAACGGG